GUAGGGUGCAAGCGUUAAUCGGAAUUACUGGGCGUAAAGCGUGCGCAGGCGGCUUUGCAAGACAGAUGUGAAAUCCCCGGGCUUAACCUGGGAACUGCAUUUGUGACUGCAUGGCUAGAGUGCGGCAGAGGGGGAUGGAAUUCCGCGUGUAGCAGUGAAAUGCGUAGAUAUGCGGAGGAACACCGAUGGCGAAGGCAAUCCCCUGGGCCUGCACUGACGCUCAUGCACGAAAGCGUGGGGAGCAAACAGGAUUAGAUACCCUGGUAGUCCACGCCCUAAACGAUGUCAACUGGUUGUUGGACGGCUUGCUGUUCAGUAACGAAGCUAACGCGUGAAGUUGACCGCCUGGGGAGUACGGCCGCAAGGUUG
This 369-nucleotide ribosomal RNA is filed under the name uncultured bacterium. RNAcentral's name for it is "bacterial SSU rRNA". It matches the Rfam family "Bacterial small subunit ribosomal RNA", at positions 527 to 896 of the family's 1533-position model. The record is from RNAcentral.